Long non-coding RNA from Pleuronectes platessa (European plaice), 1413 nucleotides. RefSeq lists it as uncharacterized. NCBI's taxonomy places the organism in Eukaryota, Metazoa, Chordata, Actinopteri, Pleuronectiformes, Pleuronectidae. The record is from RefSeq and is a predicted model, not a curated record. The transcript has 2 exons.
UUUCAUUUCUAAGGAAACAGGAAGGGUUAUAACAGCUCACACCCAGACAAACACAGACACGAUUCCCUAACAGCAGCACACUAACAAAGGAGGAUGAGGAUGUCAGGAAGAUUCAUAAGUUGCUUUGCAGCUCUGUUCCUUGCACUGGCAUCGGUGUCAGCUGUAGAAAGACUCAAUUCAAUUAAGGAUUUGAAGAAAAUCAACUUUGGUCAAUCUGUGCCCAAACACACUCUUCUACUUCUCCACUGGUUUGCCAACGUAGUGGAUAUCGACAGCAACAACAUCAUACGGUUGACCUUUGACCCAAACGAUCAUGAUUAUGGAUCGCAUCAUUAUGGCAACUAUGAGCAGGUGCUGGAGCCAACGCCUCAGGGUUACGAGUACUACACUGUUGGCAAUCACCUUCGUGACAGACGUGAAGAAAUUCCAGAUUAUGUCGCCCAUCCCCGGGCAGAGUAUGUGGGAAGAAACAGGGACCGAAUCAUAUUCAGAGUCAGGCUUCAGAACACAGGAUGGCAGCAGAUAGAUCGAGUGUACAUCACACAGCAUUAUGGUAUCCCUGGAAAUACGACAUAUGAUCCUGAACAUACCUAUGAGAUCACGAUUAACCUUCUGAGAACAAUCCGAAAGUUUUCAGUGGGAGCAAGCCAGUCACUGUCCAUGCUCAGAAAUCGCUAUGGAAGUAACACUAGUGAUUUCCAGUUAUCAGAAAUCAGAAACAUAUGGGGGAACCUUGCUUUUCUUGGACUGCUGUUGUUUAUUGUGAUCGAGGAAAGGUACAACUUUGACCAACAAAGGGCCAGCCUUCAGAAUGAGAUAAAAGGAGGAGGAAAUGAGGUUGUGACACAAAUUGACAUUCCUGAAUACAACUUCCAAGGCCCCACACAAAAUUGGUUGAAUUGUGAAACAUGCAUUCUCAUUUUUGUGCUUAUAUGUAUAUUUGUCUUUGCCAUUUUUGGUUACCUCUGGCUUUGAAAUGAGAAAUGAGAAAAAGGCUGUCCAAACAAAACAUUUUUCUGUUCACUACUUAUUUUUCUCAAUUGUUUUUAAUUUCUUAUUUAACUUUACAAAGAAAAAUAAAGAAAAAAAAGGACGAAACAUACAAUACACCAUUACCUUUAAGUUGAUUGGGAAUCAAGCAGUUAGGAAGAUCAAUGGACCUGGAUAAGGGAUAAUUCUAAAAGCUGGUGUAUGAUUUGUUUUGCUUUCAUGUUUAUUUAAAUGUGUGCUACAUUAUUUUCUUAACAAUGUUCUGGUAAAUAUUGAGAUAGAGGUUGUGCAUAACAAACAAACAAAAAAGAGAUGUAUAUUUUACAUAUGGUUUUGUCUUCUUGCUACAAUAUUGUAAAUGGGGUGUUGAUUGAAUACUCGCUGCUAUUUGUAUGGUGUGUAAAUAAAAGGUUUAAAAGACAA